UAGUCCACGCCGUAAACGAUGAUAACUAGCUGUCCGAACCCACAGGGUUUGGGUGGCGCAGCUAACGCAUUAAGUUAUCCGCCUGGGGAGUACGGUCGCAAGAUUAAAACUCAAAGGAAUUGACGGGGGCCUGCACAAGCGGUGGAGCAUGUGGUUUAAUUCGAUGAUACGCGAGGAACCUUACCUAGGCUCGAACGCUACAAGACAGGAACUGAAAGGUUUUUUCCCUUCGGGGUUUGUAGUGAGGUGCUGCAUGGUUGUCGUCAGCUCGUGCCGUGAGGUGUUGGGUUAAGUCCCGCAACGAGCGCAACCCUUAUUCUUAGUUGCCAGCACAUAAUGGUGGGGACUCUAGGAAGACUGCCGGCGUAAGCCGUGAGGAAGGUGGGGACGACGUCAAAUCAUCAUGGCCUUUAUGCCUAGGGCUACACACGUGCUACAAUGGUGCAUACAGCGGGUAGCGAAAUCGCGAGGUGGAGCUAAUCUUGUAAAGUGCAUCCCAGUUCGGAUCGGAGUCUGGAA
RNAcentral lists this ribosomal RNA (519 nucleotides) under uncultured bacterium. RNAcentral's name for it is "bacterial SSU rRNA". It matches the Rfam family "Bacterial small subunit ribosomal RNA", at positions 791 to 1310 of the family's 1533-position model. The record is from RNAcentral.